CAUCCGAGCAGGCGGCAGCCGGGGAGAACGAACCUGCAGAAACAUCCGAAACAAAAGCAAAGCACUAACCGACGAUGAAACAUGAAUCAGUUGGGUCCCCACCGCACCACCUAACGCUCCUUUUGAAAUAGUUUUCUUGGAAGCAUGAUUCCUCCAUGGAUGAGCAUCCCAUCUCCAAGCCGCUUAUGAACCCACCAGCGGUCCCUUUCGCCCUCCCACUCCCCACCAAUCAUGGAUCCAUUCUGCUCUUCCACUCUCUACUCCUCCGCCCCUUCCCAUCUCUUUCUGAGCACUCCCUUUGAAAGACUCCCUUCCCGAUCCCCUACACCCUUCCGCCGUAAAUCCGUUUUCGUCUUCGCCGGCACCUCCACCCGCCGGCCGUCCUCCUCCGUCCCCAUGACCUUCGGCUUCGACACCCUCAAGGAGACCUUCUCCGUCGACGUCAGCAGCGCCGAGGGGCGGCCCCUCGACGUUCCCCUCAUCGCCCCCUUCACCAUCGCCUCCUCGCGGCUCGACGCCGUCGGGAACGUCGCCGUCCGGGUGGAGCUCCGCAACGGCUCCGUCGGCUGGGGGGAGGCCCCCGUGCUGCCCUCCGUCACCGCCGAGGACCAGCCCGCCGCCCUCGCAGCCGCCCGCGACGCCUGCCGUCUCCUCGUCCGCAGCCCGGCGACGACGCUCGGUGCCCUGCUCGCCGAGGUCGCCCGCGUCCUCCCCGACCAUGAAUUCGCUUCGGUUAGGGCUGGAGUUGAGAUGGCACUGAUCGAUGCGGUUGCUAAUAGCAUUCGCAUACCUCUGUGGAGAUUGUUUGGUGGAGUAUCGGAUUCUAUAACCACUGAUAUAACAAUUCCAAUUGUAUCCCCAAAUGAAGCUGCUGACUUGGCUGCGAAAUAUCGUAAACGAGGGUUCAGCACAUUGAAGCUGAAGGUGGGGAAAGAUUUGAAUUCGGAUAUAGAAGUUCUAAAGGCCAUAAGAUCAGUUCAUCCUGAUUGCUAUUUUAUUUUGGAUGCAAAUGAAGGCUAUACAGCUCAACAAGCAGUUGAAGUUCUUGAUAAACUCCAUGAAAUGGGGGUUGUUCCUAUUCUAUUUGAGCAACCAGUUCACAGAGAUGACUGGGAGGGUCUCCAUCAUGUUAGUCAUGUUGCAAAGGACAAAUACGGCAUAUCUGUCGCUGCAGAUGAAAGUUGUAGGAGUUUGCAUGAUGCACAGAGAAUCAUACAAGGAAAUCUUGCUCAUGUCAUCAAUAUUAAGCUGGCCAAACUUGGGGUUCUUGGGUCUCUUGAGAUAAUUGAUGUUGCAAGAAGAGCAGGUCUUGCACUUAUGAUUGGUGGUAUGGUUGAAACAAGACUUGCCAUGGGCUUUGCUGGUCAUCUGGCUGCUGGCCUUGGUUGUUUCAGUUUUGUUGAUCUUGACACGCCUCUUCUUUUGUCUGAGGAUCCAGUAAUUGGUGGAUAUGAAGUUUCUGGUGCUGUCUACAAGUUCACGAAUGCCAGGGGCCAUGGUGGUUUUCUUCAUUGGGAGAACAUCGCUUGGUUUCUGCCAUCUCCCUGUUCCUUUCGUGCAGCAGCAACCUUUCCUGUGGCACUCGGUGUGGCGACUAGCGACGUCCCUUGUUUUCUCUACCAGAAUCCAAGCGAAUAGGGUCUUCUUCUUCCCCUAUUUUUGAGGUUAUAUUUGCUUUGGUAGGCAUCUUUGGCUGGUGCUCAGAUUAGAAGUUGUCAUUGAUUACCUUCAUGAAUGAUGGUGGCAGUUAUAGCCUCCCCCAUUCUUCUGACGUUUGAGUCAUCGAGUGAGGUGUGGUCAUUGGUCUCAUAUAAAUUUUUCCCUUCAGCGAUCAAAUAAAAGGUAAGGAAGCAAGUAUUGCAGGAUCGGAAGCACUUGUAUCUGCUCUUUUAUAAAUGUAACCUCAUGGACGUAUUCUUGUUCCAAAAUGUUUACCGAGCCCAAACUAGGAUAGGACGUAGAAAUCUAGUUUAUGAGCAUAGCAUGUAGUGGGCUCUUUUGUUGUUCAUCUUGGAUCUCAGCUACGGGGUCCACGAACUUGUGAGAAUCUUUGAUGCACCAGCUGACUUGUACGAGAUAAUCGACAGCAAUAAAAUCACAAACUUGUGUCUGUUUUCUAGGUGGUUUCUGAAAA
This is an RNA transcript of Elaeis guineensis (African oil palm), 2134 nucleotides long. It is a transcript of the gene named L-Ala-D/L-amino acid epimerase, with no coding region annotated. The record is from RefSeq and is a predicted model, not a curated record. Lineage: Eukaryota; Viridiplantae; Streptophyta; Magnoliopsida; Arecales; Arecaceae.